This is a long non-coding RNA of Numida meleagris (helmeted guineafowl), 3237 nucleotides long. RefSeq lists it as uncharacterized. The transcript has 2 exons. The record is from RefSeq and is a predicted model, not a curated record. Lineage: Eukaryota; Metazoa; Chordata; Aves; Galliformes; Numididae.
UCAAGGAUUUUGAUGGGUUUUUCUUUGUUAAGAAAAAUCCUUGUUAAACAUUUUAGACAAAACCAUACAGAUGCUUUUUAGCAGUGAUUAAACCACGCUUGUCAGCUAAGAAAAGCCUCUUUAAGUGAUGCAGGUCAUUGUGCCUGUAGUUUACUGACAGAAACAGAUUAGACUAUCAAUCUAGUACUUUUUUUGUUCUUUCAGAAAGGAAUUUGUAACAAGUCUCUGGCAUGGAGCACAGUUUGCUGUAAAAAGCCUCCAGUGCUGCUGAGUUCAGCAGAGACCAUUAUUUGCUUCUCAAAUGCAAUAGGAGAUGAAUAGAGACAAGAAGUGUUUUUCUCUGCUGCACCAUUGGUCUAUGUUCAUUCCCACCUCAUUGCUUUGCAUCUUCCUCUUUGCAGUAGAAAUGGAGGGAUAGCCAGGAUUUUCAGGGAUUGUACUGCAAGGUGAGAACUGGCGGUUUGAGCACCUGGAGGCUGAGGAGGAAAUGAACUUCUUACCUGGAAGCCUGACUACAGUUAAGCUUCAGCGACUGGCAUGGAUUGUGUUCCUGUGUAUAACUACCUACAUACAAAGAAGUGCAGACAGAGGUUUCUUCUACAACAAUCGAAAGAUGCAGUGGCUGAGACUGCGUGUUAGUCAUCCCCCUCCUGAAGUUAAGAAAACACCUUGUGUCCAAAGCAAUGUUGAAAAUGGUCAAGAUGGCUAUUUGAAAGAGUUUCUAAAAGAAGUCCACAGUGGCUUUGAGUCCUCCACCUCUGUAAGGCUUUGAUUUCUCUCAAUUACUGCUGCAACCAAUAUCUUCCAUUCCUAAAGAAGGCCAGAAAGAGGUGGUAGGAACUGUAGGAUGUGGUAUACUCAAGAUAAAGUUAGGAAAACAAUUUCCUUUCUUCAUACCAGAAAGCAGUGUUUCCUCUGAACUCUCAGAAAUAUUUUUGUCUUUUAAAGCAAAUUAGUUAAAUGUUAUCUUUCUCUUUCAUUUCCUUAACGCAUUUCUUGUGCUUCUCUCUAUAACUUUCUUGCAACCAAGCUUUUCUUUCUGCUCCCCUCCAAACUCCUUUCCCUGGAAUCAGGUGAGAGCCACCGUGGAUGUUUCUGGCUUUGCUGUUAGCUGUGACCUUAAGGGUGAUUAUAUUUUCUUUCGCUUCUAAUUUUAAAUUAUCCCUUACCAGAGGAUAUCUCUAAUUUAUGUAUCUAAUCCCUUCUUAGAAUCCUAGUUCUGACUGUUUGAUAUUAUAGAAGACUUUGCUAAGCAUAAAUUCCUUUAAAUUGGUGGUCUACUGCCAGCUUUCUGCAGAGAUCACACGUAGUGUGUUAACAAUACAGAUGACAGUGGUUGCUUUGCUUAAUUGCUUUCUUCCCGCCUACUGCCUGUGAAAGAGACCUCACUUUCCCUUAAAGUAAUUAUUUCCUUACCUGAGUCACCUGUGUCCCCUGUGAGGAUCCUUCUGGAGGGUGCACAUCUCCUAAACACCACAGCUGUGGCUCUCUGGAAGCUCCCUCAGCACAGCACUUGAAUGGGACACGCUGAGAGGAAGGGGACAGGGUGAGGCAGGCAAUCCCAGCUCACUGUCAGUGGCAUGCUCCCUGGAUGACAAAAGAAAAUUAACAAAGCAUUUUUUAGUUAAAGUGUUGUGAUUGUGACAGCCUAACUUAAAUAGAGAGAAUCUAUUUCACUAGAGCAAAUGAGACAGCUGGAAAGAACAGAUGCGCUUUAGACUGCACAAACUUAUUUAGCAGUUAGAAGCCUAGCUUUGGCAGCCAAACUUUGCAAUGUAUAACAACCUAGAAAAUUGAGCAAGAGCUUCAGCUGAGCAGCCAUGUUCCACUCUACCUGCUUAGCCCCUCUCCAAGAACUGCUGGUGUCCUUCAGGUCCUCUUCAAGUUUCUUUCGCACUUUCUAAGAAAAUGUCUUUUCUCAACUAAACUAAGUCCAGUGUAAGUUCUAAACUUUUUUUUUUUUUUUUUUUUUUUUUUUUUUUACUAAAUCAACAUACCAUCUAAAUGAUUAGCAGGGAAAGGCAGAUUUCUAAAACAUGUAAGCAUGAUGCAUGCUAGAGAUGAUCUGUUUUAUCCAGCAAUUUGGUGCAAGAUAAACUAUUUAGACAGCUCAUCUUGAGCAUCUCCCACCCCAGCACAAGACGUGCAGAAACCCUGGGCCAUGCAUUUCAGCUUCCAAAGAUCAGUUAUGAACGUUCUGCCUUGCCACUCUCCUUACCUGCAAUCUUCCUUUUACUUUUUUGAGCCUGAAAAAAAGCAAAAUGUUGUAAAAGUUUUGUACGAUCUGCUGUUUGUUUCCCCAUGUCUGUAUUAUGACUGUGGACAGCUGCAUUAAAAUGAAAGAGACACUGUGCAUCUCCAAUUCUCAGGUGUCCCCAGAAGCUGCAAGUUCUCAGGCUCUCAAAAUCUGGGCUGCAAUAUCUGCAUUUAUGAGAUUCAAAAUUCUCUCCGAGUUUAUAACAAAACUAGAUUGUGUUUUGCUGUCAUCAGAAUCCACUAUGAUAAACAGAGAUCUGAUGAAGCACUAGGAAGUCUCCUCUUUGUGUAUAAAUAUUUAUGUAUGUAAAUGGGUGUAUGGUUAAUUAUAACUGACAAGAAGAGACUGACAGCAACUCAGAUCCUCUGUCCCCACGGAGAGAUAGAAGUUGCUUGUUGAAGUGUCAUAGCACAUCUCAUGGGCUGUGUAUUGAAUCAUUGAUUAAAUGCUGCAGCAUCUGGGUUGCUAAAAUGCCAGGGACUGCUGAAGAAGGAGGGAGGAAUGUGCACUGAAUACCGAAUAAGAACAGGGAAAUCAUCCGGUUUGUAUUUCCGUAUAUUUCACAAACAGAUCAAGAAUCAGAGUGCUUGCUUUCCCUUUGUGUCUCUCUGCAGACUGGGCAGACCACCUUGCUUUCACCUGCUCACAGGCGGAGUCCCUUGCCCAGGGAGGAGCUGGGAAAGAGUUCCAUGAGAAGGCAGCACAGGCGGCAUGUAAUAAGAAAGGGUGGGGUGAAAGCAACCUGACAGCUGGCUCCUUCAGUGUAGGCAGGCUUUAAAUCUGCUCAUAUGUUUGGAAGAAGGUUAUAUACAACUAACAUUUCUGAAUCAGGCUUGAGUAUCUUUAUUAUUUCCAUUUCCUGUUUUUCCAUUAUUUCUGAUAUUCUUGUUAACUGGGCUUUGUCUUUGUGAGUAAGCUGUUAUCUCUUGACUGUCUUAUAAUGCUAUCUGAAGGGAAAAUAAAUGUUUGGGUGAAAUGUA